Molecule: long non-coding RNA, 1560 nt
Organism: Uranotaenia lowii
Lineage: Eukaryota; Metazoa; Arthropoda; Insecta; Diptera; Culicidae
Exons: 2
Source: RefSeq, a predicted model, not a curated record
UUUUCGUUCGCUAUCCCCGACAUUGAAUUCCAGAAUAUUUUGUUUAUUUUUUGCUACGGUUAAAAUUCUUCCUAAAUGUUUUGUUUUAGAAAUGUUUUAAUCGCUCGAUUCACAUAUUUUGCCCUGAAAUACCCUGAUACGAAUGACGAAACGGUGGUGUGGCGUCUCGUGUUUGUUGAUUGUAAUUCAAUCAAUUAAUCAGCGCUAAAACAAGUUUAUAUUGAAGUCGCAUUCUGCAUUCAAAUGAAAACUGAUGGCUCGAAACAUGUGCCCCAUCACCAGCACAUUUAACACCGCUAUUCGAAACUGAUUUGCAUUGGAAUUAAUUUCGUCUGGGAUUCUCACACUGGAAGUAAUGCAGGAAUCAUUCUUGGCAUUGAUCCUACGAAGUUUGUUGAUAGAAAAGGUUCCUCCGGUUUGUUUCCAUCUUUUAAAUAUCAGUCACCAGCAAUAAAUCAAACAAUCGUCCUCUAUUUCGACAUCCCUAACGAUCACAAUUGGCAAGUCGCUGAGCUGACCUAGAAGUAGCCGUUCGGGUUGACAGUCCUGAUCCCAAUGAAGGAGCACGUGGACAAUCCAGAAGCGGUCACGAUAUGCCACUUGAUCCCAGUGACGAUAACUCAGCAGCAGCAGCAAAUCGUUCUGAGCUAAAAAUAGCUUAACAUGCAAAUUUUCGUUGGCUUUCUGGAGAUAUAAAAAAAACAAAAGAAGAUAUACAAAACAUUCCAUCAGAACGAUAAGGCAGCUGAUUUAAGAGAGAUCGAUAAAACAGAAAGCAUUCUACCAACACCGGACACACGCAAAAUGGAUGAAAAGAAUAUCGACUUUUUGCCAACGGCAAACGGAAAAGCAGCGAAUGUUGGAUGCAUGCGAUCGAUAACCGGUGAGUUUUUUUUUAUUCAUAUUUUUUUAAUCUAAAGAAUCUAUCACCAGUUAGUUGUACGUAUAGGUCUAUUGGCAUCAAAGUCUAAAUUAAGAAAAAUCCAAUUUGUCAUUUUGAAAAAAACCACAAUCUGGAAAACUGAAACCUCAAAUAUCAGAAUCAAUACCUAUUUAGAAAUUGAGAUUCGAAAUUGAAAUUCAAUAUCGAAAUCCAACUGAGAAUUCAAAAUUAAUUUUCGAAAAUUCGAUACCACUAGGGAUUUUGGCGUCCUGAACUUGAUUCUUUUGUCAGAUUUUGUCUAGAUUUACUAGAUUUGGUGAUAGGAUCAAAGGAAAUUUUAAAAUUGAUCAGUAUUCAGUAAAAUCAACCAUUAAUAACGCUAACUGAUGAACCAACAACCUUAAAUGAUAAAAAAAAACUGAUUUGAAUCUAUCUAGGCCGGAACAAAUUUCAAAUCCUUCUUUUGUCACUCGGACUUCGAUCAACGCGAGAGGUUAUAAUAAAAAUGCAAAAAAAACUUAUGAAUUUGGAUAAAUCUCUUGAUAGCUUGAAUAAAUCAAAUUAAUACAUAGUAUAUCAUACCCCUAAACCCAUAAAUUAAUAAUAUUUUAUCGAAAAAUUUAAUAAAAUCACGCAUACAAAAAGGUGAUGAAUCCACUUUUUUUUUGCUCUUGAAA